CAGCGUGAUUUAUGUAUGACUCGGCUGAUUCUUUUCUAGGUUGCUGAUGGUGUGGGUGUUCGACGGCCACGUUUGGAACAUGAAACUUCUGGACCCCGACGUUUUCACGUCGUUCUCUUUAGCGUCCCUCACGGAACUUCCGGCCGCUGUUCUACUCGCCUUUUUCCUCGACAGAUGGGGCAGACGAUGGAUGGGUUUCGCAUCGAUGUUCCUCUGUGGCAUUUUCUCCUUCGUUGCCAUCGCUACCCCCUCUGGUUCGACAAUGGUUGCCAUGGCGAUUAUAGCGCGUCUUGGGGUGAAUAUCGCCGCGAAUAUUGGUUUUCAAUAUGCAGCGGAAAUACCGCCGACUGUGGUGAGAGCUCAGGGCGUGUUUUUAAUCCAUAUCAUCGGUUAUAUCGCCCACAUUUUGGGACCUUACAUUAUUUAUCUGAUAAGUGAAUCGAAAUUUUUGUUAACGACAUCGUAUUUCUACGAUCCGAAAAUUACUCAACCUCUUUUUUAAUUUACGACUAAUAUUAUCUGUUAUUGAAAUACGUUUAUUUAAGUUGGUUUAAUUUGUAGAAAAAUUAUGUUCCUUGUCGGCCAUGGAUUCUUCUUGCGAUCUUACGAAUCACGGAAACAAGAUAGAUUUUCGAUAUAUUUUCCUCCGUUUCGUUUUUUUGCGAAGGAAAUGUAACUUUUCUAUUGUUUGUAAUUAUUUACAGGUUUGCGAUACUACACUAUAGCUUCGUUUCUAAAUGAAACGAAUGUUUACAAAAUCUCGUUAUACAGGUAACAUCAAUGAUCCUUUGUAUAUUGACAACUUCUUCAAAUUCUGUCUUUAACCAAUAUUCUUUAUUAAUAUUUAAAAGAAUAUUAAGUAUACAGAAAAUACGAAGAGGAAUAUUUGCGAGGACACUCUUGAUUAAUGUGCUGACAUUGAUCCAUCUUUAUCGCUGGUUACCCUCGGUUUGCUGUCUUUUGGACACGCCUUCCUGACCCUUGGCUUGCCAGAAACGUUGAACCAGGAAUUACCAGAAACCCUACAGGAGGGUAACGACUUCGGCAAGGAACAAAGUUUCUGGUGGGUUCCGUGUAUAUCCUCGAGCAAAAUGCUGAAAAAAUCUUAUAGAAAGAAGAAAGGCCUUUCAAAUCCAGCGUUUACUGGCAGUGUUCAAAAAAUGGAUUGUACUAGGUUAUAGUGGUUAGAUUUGGCGACGGCGCGAAACUUGCCAGUAGGGUAAAACUUACCAGUGGCAUGAAACUUGUCAAUGGCAUGAAACUUGUCAAUGACAUGAAACUUGUCAGUGACAUGAAAUUGCCAGUGGCGUGAAACUUGCCAAAUUUGUUGUAAAUAUAGUUAUUAAACGUGUGCGUGUGAUGUUAGAUGUUAAGAUAUUACGAACGUAUUGAGAUUGGAGAGCUAUUGAGAGAAACUAGGAGGAAGUAUCGAUUAUUGCAGUGAAAGAGACAAGAAUCGUCAAAUUACACAAAGUAUACGUUUAAGCAAUUAAUUGACGCUUCAUCGAUGAAGUAGCUUUGUUGCACACAAGAUAAUUUUCUUUAAAGUGUAUCUUUUUUCAAUUGGAAUGACUGUAUAAAAAUGUGAAGAAAUUUAAAGAAUUAAGAACGCGGCAUUUAAAGUACGUUGCGUUCACAUAUUGCGAUGUAAUUAUUUCGCGUACUAUAACGUCGGUAAAGUGUUGGAAAUGAGAAACGAUUCAAGUAUCUUAUGUAAAUGUACAAUUAAAUUCAGUAUUGGAUAUAUGUAUUAAAGGAAGCGAUAUAUAAGGAAAUAAUAUACCAUAGUAUUUAUGCAUCUUACGCUUUAAAAAUCGAAAAGAAAGAUCUAUAUCUUUUUCUUCUUGCUCUUUUUUUUCUUUUCUCGUUGAAGGAAUACUCUAGUUGAAUUGAUUUAACUAUGAAAUACAGUGAAUAACAAAGGAUUGCCACGAGACUCGAAACACAAAAAGAGAGCUGUCUCCGCGCAUUGUCAAGCUUUCAACUUGUCUCCUUUAUUACGAAUCGCCUUUGUAUCAAUAUAGGUGAUUCAUAAAUCGCCGACACUUGAAAUGAGAGUUUCGAUCGACUUUUAAACCGAAGUGUAUUUUGCGUUCGCUCGAUCAACGUGGCUUUUUUUCAUCAUCCAUUUAUGCAUCAACACGUUGAAUGCUUUGAAAACUCUGAGAUCUCUGUUAUUUAAUUUAAAUAUAUACAUACAUAUAUAUA
Molecule: long non-coding RNA, 2208 nt
Organism: Bombus huntii
Lineage: Eukaryota; Metazoa; Arthropoda; Insecta; Hymenoptera; Apidae
Exons: 4
Source: RefSeq, a predicted model, not a curated record